Labrus mixtus (cuckoo wrasse) is the source of this 496-nucleotide long non-coding RNA. RefSeq lists it as uncharacterized. The transcript is spliced from 2 exons. NCBI's taxonomy places the organism in Eukaryota, Metazoa, Chordata, Actinopteri, Labriformes, Labridae. The record is from RefSeq and is a predicted model, not a curated record.
AGUCCAUCCUCUCCGUCUUUUCCCUGCUCCACUUUUCAGAAAAUGUGUGCUCAAACAGGCCGUUUGGAGAUUUUCCCUUCAUGACAUCACAAAGGGCAGUAACCCCUCCCCCAGGUGGGUGACACUCCCACAGCUAGGUGUUUGUUCUGCCCUCUGAGUCUGCCUUCUCACCGUAAACAAUAGGACAUGGAGCAAGAAAGACCGAGGCACCUUCUGCCCUUCCAGAGAGGGGGCGUGGUCAGACACAGCUCAUUUACAUUUAAAGGUACAGACACAGAAACAGCCUGUUCUGAGCAGGGCUGAAAUAGAGGGGCAUGAUCAAAUCACAGGAUCAGAGUGGAUUUAGAACAAGAAACUUCACAAACAUGUUUUGAGGAGCUCUGAGACUUAUUUACACUGGUUGAAGAGGAGGAGAAUAUGUCACCUUUAACGCUUUAAUUGUUUUGUCUAUGCAAAUGUAUCAUAUGACUUUCCUGCCAAUAAACAUGAAGCCUCA